Long non-coding RNA from Arachis stenosperma, 1170 nucleotides. RefSeq lists it as uncharacterized. NCBI's taxonomy places the organism in Eukaryota, Viridiplantae, Streptophyta, Magnoliopsida, Fabales, Fabaceae. The record is from RefSeq and is a predicted model, not a curated record. The transcript has 3 exons.
GGAUGGAAGCUAUGGUGUUUGAUGAAAUGUUCCAACGAAAUUGGAAUCUAUUCCCUCGAAUUUGUACUUUACUUUGGAGUUUGGAGACUAAACCAAAAAAAGAAAAUCUCACCCAGUUUCAGACUAUAACGAUUAACCAAUGCCUUCAUAGCUAGCCCCGAACACUGACAGAAUUACGUUCAAUUUGAGUUUAAUUUGCAGAGGACAAGGAGGCUUGGUACAUAUGCAGUAUUAGAGUGAGUGGGUUAUGGUUAUCCCAAUUUAUAGCGGUAAGAUCUCUAACUCCCCUUAAUUGAGUUUUAGUUUACUUAAAUUGACCAAUGAAUCUCAAUUUUCUUAUUUAGCUAUGCAAUUUUAACAUCUUGGCUGACUAAGGCUACAAAUAUAAAGUAAGAGUAUGAGUGAGAGAAAAGAAUAAGAGUUCAAUUUGUUCUUUGAAAUUAUAAGCGUGUUUUGUUUUAAUUUCUAAAGUUUAACCAGUAUUAAUUUAGUCUUUGAAAUUAUUUUUAUAUACUAUUUUGAUCCUUAAAAUGACUUGUAAAAUUUAACUUCAAAAAUUAAAAUAAUUGACAAAGCAUAAUUUCAAGCACAAGUUAGGUGAAGGAGGUUAUGGCUCUGUCUACAAAGGAAAACUCCAAAGCAAACGCUAUGUUGCUGUGAAGUUGUUGUGCAAAUUCUCUAAGCCAAAUCAACAACAGUUCAUCAAUGAAGUUGCCACCACUGGAAAGAACUAAGCUCGCUCUGCUUUAUGAGUACAUGCCUAAUGGUUCUCUUGACAAGUACAUACUUAAGCAAGAACAAGGGAAUGCUUCAAUAAGCUAUGAGAAAAUUCAUAUAUAACAUUGCUAUUGGCGUGGCCUUCAAUGAAAGAAGUAAGAAAGAUGCUUGAAGGAGAAGCUAUUGUUCAUCAGACUCUAGAUUUCAUUUAAACUUGAUUUGUAGAACUUAUAAAAUUUUAAAGUCAAUUCGAAGCAUCAGCAUAAUAUGUCAUAUAAAAAUAACAACUAUAUUAGGUGUAAAUAUAAUGUUUGAGAUACACAUCACCUAAUUCAUCAGAUUUUUCUAGCAAAGUCUGAGUAAUCAGGUCGUAUUAAAAAUUGUGGAAAUGUGAGGUGAUAUGUGUGCUGUGUGAUUUGCAUUAUUAUGGAAAUUAAUUAGUAAAAUGAAGGA